UGCCAGAAGCUCUGCAUCUGUGGUCAGUGCUACACUGUGUUUUGGUAAAACUCCUAGUUCAUCUUCCAUCUUUCUGCUGGAUCUAAAUAAAGUCCUGGAGGACAGACACACUGUCCCCUCUUCACACAGCCUGACUAACAGAAGUGCUUGAAAAGUGUGGGGUGGCUGACGGAGGCCUCUUAUGUGCCACCAAGUGCCAGACACCUGUAUCCCCUGCUCCCUCCUUGAAUACUUAUAACAGUCUUUCAGACAAGCGUUAUGAUUGCUGAAGACAUUGAUGCCCCAGAGGGACAUGGUUUACUGUAGGCCAGAGCCAGGUAGGAACAGGGUGGCUGGCACCCAGUCAGGGACCACUGGCAGCUUCAACUCCAGGGUGGGGGCCCUGCCACUGCAGAACCAGGUGCUCGGUGUGACAGUGCCUCAUGUAGGUCGUUUCAUUUCCUUUGGCUUCAGGCACAUGAGCGGUUUGAUGUGGGUCUCAGAUGCAUCUCCCUGGAGAGGGUGGGUGGAAGGUGUUGAGGGAUUAACUUGUGUGGCCUCUUGACAAGCCUCCAUCCUUUUCCCUAGCGGGGUUUUUUGAGGGGAGAGGGACAGUCAAGCCACUUGUCCCCAGCCCUGACAGCCCUGACUCUUGCUCCCCAUAGAAGCAGAAGCUGAUUCCAGAAAAGCACCCCACCAAGACAUGCCCCGACCCAAGAUCUGCCAGCAAAACCACACAGCCUCCCGCAGAAUCUGUCUACACGGCCCUGCAGCGCCGAGAGACCGAGGUCUACGCCUGUAUUGAGAACGAGGCUGGCAGUCCAGCCUCUGCCCAAAGCCAGCCCUCCCAGGAGAAACUGCAUAAAUUUGAGGAUGACAACGAAUUUAACUUGGUCUAUGAAAAUCUCUAGGAGAAGUUCUGCCAACCACGGGUCUUGUCCUGGACCAGAGGCCCUGGCGCAGCCCCUCAUGCCAAAGGACUUAAUCUGAACCAGGAGUAUGGCCUCCAGGGACAUACUAUCACCCUCAUCCUUACACUCAAGGCCCUCCUUUCCUCCGCCUGCCCCUCUCCCUCCCCCAUCCUGCACCCCAGCCUGAGCCUUUGCCCAGGCUGUUCCUCGUGCCAACUGGGCUCUUCCUCCCAUGGCCCAGUCAACAAAGUGCUUCUCACUCAGAAAGGAAGUGGCCUUUUUCCUGAAGCCCUCCUCACCAUCUUAUGCCCACCCCACAGAGUUUACAUGGCUGUCUUGGUCUAGGGGCAGACAAUGAUCUGCAAGGAAGACACAGCAGGGACCCUGCCAAUGCCGUGCAUGGGCACUGAGGAUGGACUAGCAGGGGACUGCAGAUGCUCCUACCUGCCCAGCUAGUCCAAAAGCACAAGGUGGCCUUGCUGGUGUGGCAGGGGUGGGGGAUGGGCAAGGAUGUUGAGCCACACAGAUGCUGGACUGGGCCCAGGGCCAGAUAUCAAGGCCAAGGAUGGAGCAAGUGGUGACUGUCAAACUGGGGCCCUGGAGCAGGGAGGGUUCCAUACAUGCAGGUAAGGAAGGACAUUCUGACGUGGGGAAUGGGGGGUGGAGGGCUGGUAAACAUGGCCUAAAGUUCUGUGUCCCAUCAUCCCAGUCCCUGUGAUGUCUGUGCUACUAUGCUCUCUGCCUGUUACCUCUGCUCCUCAGGCCUCUCCUCCACCUGAGGCCUCAGCUGCUCCUCCUUCCACCCUAAGGCCCAGUGCCCCAAAGUCCCCUCUAACUGGCCUGUCCUGGCCCGCAAUCGUUGACUUCAUUCAAUCCUUCUCUGUCUUUAUUUAUCUCCGGACCCACCCCUGGCCCAUGUGGGUAGAGGCCAGAUGGACCCAGCACCCAUCCUAGCUGUCUGUAGGCCACCUCUUUCCCAUUGUAGCCCUGUUUGGUGGCCAGCCUCCCCUGAAUGGGUGGAGGAGUCUCUGUGUGCAGUUCAAGUGGUAGAUGGUAACUCCUCAGUGUCUGGUCUUUAGCCUUUUUGCUCCUCCAAGUGCCCACAGGACCCCUUGUUUCAUAGUCCAUGUGGUCCUGCUAUGUAACAGAAACCAUUUCCCAGGUAGAUAUGGGCUCAGGUGUCUCUCACCCAGACUAUCACGCUCUGUCCCCUCCCUCACCUCCUCUGCCUUGGCUUGCCAACUGUUUUUUCAUCUGUGAAUGGACAGGUCAGACUUCUCUCCCCACCACUCAGGCUGCUCCAGAGGUUCCUGGGGGUGUCCUCAUAUCAGACCUCAAAUGCAGUCAGUGAGGGAAGGGCCCCAAUAUGUAGGCCUGACCCUGGCCCCAGCAGCACUGGGCCAUCAACCUUUUAGGCAGCACAUAUCCAUUCUACAGGUCAGUCUCCCUCUUCAGAGACAGAAAGGCUGGGAGUGGGAGUGGGUACAGAUUGACUUCUGCAAGUCCCUAUGGCACAGGCCUCCCUGGGCCCACAUGACAACCAGCAGCCUCCCAGCUUGCUUCUUGGCCUCAGCGUGUGAACCAAUGGCAAGGAGGGCUCCUAGGGGCUCACAGAGCUGAGCAGAGAGGCCCCAUGCUCCUGGAGGCUGGGUUUAAUGAACUCCAGGCCUGCUGAGGGAGGAAAGCUGCCUUGUGCAGAGCUGCUUUCCAGGCUCCUGACUCCAGCAGCCUGAGGUGGGGGCCAGGACAAAGGUGAAAACUCAACUGGAAGCCAGCAAGACCAAGAGGAGGCCUACUCACUGGCUGCUUCCCCCACCUCCUGGGCCUCUCUGUUCUAGGCCCCUGGAGUCUAGCCAGUACUUAGGUUUUUCCAGCCUUUUCCAGGGGAGUGAGGGAGCUUGGUGGGGACUUGACCUCAUGCUGUGACCCAGGCCUCACCACAACAGCUCCCUGCAGCUGCCCUGCCCCCACAGUCUCUCCCAAAGCAGCCAAGAGAACUGACAAAACCUGCUUGAAGUCUUGUUCCAGCUCCAGACAAAACUUUCCAGGGCUCCUGCUUCACUUGGAAUAAAAUCCCAGCUCCUCCCUGUGGUCUAUGAGCCCCUCAGAGACUGAUCUAUCACCUCUUGGGUGACACAGAUGCUGCUUGAGAGGUGUCUGAGUCUGGCUCAGGGUGACGUUGGGAGACCAGUGGGUGCCAAGGUCUCCAGAGAGUUAGGAGAGGGGUAAGGAAAGGGAGAAGGAGAACUGCCCAUGGAAGCCUGGCUUUCCAGUGACAAUCCAGACCUCAGUGUGCCUCUGGGAAGACAGGUGAGGAAGUCCCUGGCUCAUGCAGAGCCUGGCAGGUGCGCACUUCCUGGACACUCAUCCGUCAGGGAAGCAGGAAGUGCGGCCAGUGUGAAGGGACUGCUAAGUAAGGGGCAGGCCUCCUGGGAAGGGAGCCUCCUCAUGACAGGUUCCAGCAGCCCAGAGCUAAGGACACAGGGAAGCAAAGUGGGAAGGGGAGCCCCAUAAGAGGAGCAUCUAAGAGUUGAGAGGAGGCGCCAAGGGAGCAACUGAGUAGAACAUGUAAGGCUCAGAGAAGGGAUUUGAGGAAGGCCCAUGGGACCACCCCAAGGACAGACCUGGACCCUGAGUGGUAGGAGAAGCCUCAGUCAGGGCUCUGCCCCAGGACCUCGAGCAGAAAGGCAGUCAGUAGCUCAGCUUCUUGGUGAACCCUCCGUCUGCCUGGCCUGUUCCUGCCCGGUUGGGAUUCCCACCAGCUCUCUCGGCAUAGCCUGCCUUAUUGCCGAGGUCCUGCCAGCUGCCAGCCUUCAGAGCCUCAGCACAUUUGAAAUGUUUCAACACCCCUGCCACCCUCAGGCUCCCUACCCUCUGCCUCUCCCAGGGGUGGUAAAUGACUAGAAAUUGAUGCCUGCCCCCUCUAACAGGUUUCAACCUCCUCCCCGCUUGGCUCCUGCUCCUCCCAGCACUUGUGUGAGAAAAUCACCACUGGAAACCAAGCCUAGGAACUUAAUGUGGGUGCAGCAGCCGUGGCCCCCCCACCCAGACAGAAAUUUCCAGAGAAUUCUGUGCAGCAGUUUCCAUGGGAACAUGUGCCUCUUACUACCGAUCCUCUGUGGAGCUGGGGUUCCCUUCACAACCAAUAUCACAAGACUUUAGCAGGUGGCCUCGACUGGGGACAGCCACCACUCUGGCCACCAGCUCUCACUAACCUGAAAUCAAGUUACAGGCAAAACCUGCUUCUUUUUUCCCAUCUAAUUUAAAGGCUGUGCUCCAGGCUAAGGACGCCGCUGGGAUUUCAGGGAUGGAUUUUUAUGUUGUUCAACAGUUUUCUUGGCAGACAGCUCCUCCAGGAGAGGUGGCCCCUUACCUGAGCCCAGCCAGACUGAGUGGUGUCUCUCUGUUCCUCUUGAAUGCCAGGGGAUGGCAUUUGGAGUCUCUGAAUCCAGACUCGGGCAUUGAGGACAUGAACACAGGACUCUGGGAUAACUGCUUUCUAUGCUUCUCCUUUGAGCUAUGGUCAGAAUCUUGGCCUGAGACUUGACCCAGCUCAGGCCUGCACCCUGUGUGUACUUGGCGUUGGUAUGUGCUCACUGUGUGUAUCUAAGCAAGCAAGUGGUACAAAUUGACUCUGAUGCACCUGCCAUAUCCCGGUCUCCUUUGAAUGCCCUCCCCACAGGUCACUUACUUGGUUUAUUUGGGAGAGAGUCCUUCCUGCUGCUUUUAUUGCAUCUGUGUACAUAUAUGGGAACAGAUAAAACACAGAAUGUUUGUGGGGGGUCCUGAAGAGCUUGCUUGGUGUCAUUCUGUAGGUGUUGUUUGCACUGGGGAUCUGCCCAAGCUAGCAUAUCGGAGCUGCCAGACUCUAAUUAUAGCAGAGGACUCACAGGAAGGAUGGAUCCUAAUUUAAUCAAUCGGGCCCCUAUCAAUGGCCUCCUCAGUUGUUUACAAUUUUUCAACCUCGCCUAAGAUAAUGCAGGGAACAUGCUUGCACGCCCCUCCUUGAAUGUAUCUUCCAAGCUUUCUCCACAGAGAAAUGAUAAGAAGAGGUUUCUGGGAGUCCUGAGUGUGGACGUUUUAGUGUUUCAACAGACACUGCCAUGUGUCAGGCAUGGAUGUGGUUACUUGGACUCUUUCGCUACAGAAAGAGUCCUAAAUACACUCCUCAUUUAAUCCUAAAUACACUCCUGCAAGGUGGGAGCUGAAUGGCCACCAAUUUAAAGAAGCAGAAUCUGCAGUUCAGAGAGGCUGAUUGGCUGAAGGUCACACAAUCCAAAGGGGGCAGCCUCCAAAUGUGCUUGGUUCUCCUGUGGCCACGGGCCAGCUGAAGGGGUGAUGUGACCCAUACGGGCUAAACAGAGAGAGCCAUUGAGAGACUUGUGCUUCCAGGGCUGGGGGACACCAUGGAAAGACAAUUUCCUUCAGAGAUGGCCCAUCACCUCACUGCUCACAUCCACCUUCUCAAAAUUGUGUGUGUGUGUUCUGUGUCUUUGGGGAAAGGUCAGUAGAGGUCAUGGUGUUGCACAUGCUCAGUUUCCAACAUGAGGCCUGGUCCUAGCAGCCUGGAUAUUUGGAUCUCAGGUGUUCCCUGGGAAUUCCCAGACACAGCAAGCCUGGAGGUGUGAGCUGCCUCUUAGAAGCUUCCUCAUCUGGGAUAAUGCUGCUGUAAUUGGCACUGUUCUGCCCUUACAACCCUCUUAUUGCCUAAAAACUUACCUUGGAAGUGGUUAUGACUGGUGUGGGUCUUAUUUUACCACUUUGUGGACUGUGGGGGAUUGAGGAGUCCUGGCCUUUUCUCUGUCUCCCCCAUGCCUGCCCUGAUGCCCUGAGGGCCAGAUUCUGGCUGACAUCCUGGCCUUGGUUCAGGAGAUGCCCCACCCCUGGUUCCCCACCACAGGUCUGAGCCCAUCUGGGAGCUGCUUUUUUCCCCACAUUCCCCCUCUUUUCUGUAUCAAACCCACCUAUUAGAGCCUCCUUCCAACCCCCUCCUUCUUUCAGCCCUUCCUGGUCUCUCUGCCAAGUUAAUUGAUCUUUCUAUAGCACAGAUCUCACCAGGUCACUCUCCUCUCAAAGGGUUAUGGUCAAAUUCAUUGCAACAAGGGAGUCAAACUCCUUCAAUGGGUAAAAACAAUCUUUUCAACAAAUAGUGCUGGGAGAACUAGACCUUCAUGUGCUCAAGGAUGACUUUGGACUCCUACCUCAUGCCCCAUACCCAACCUCACUGUGGUUUCAACUGUCCAAAGAAUCAAGGUUUGAUCCCUUAGCCAGGCCCUCAGGUCUCCCACAACCGCUUCAUUCUUUCAACAACAUUGAUCCAGCUCCAACUACCUGUUUGGCCCUGUGCUGGGGCUGGAAUGAAAGACAGAUUUUACCACCUCACAUCUGAUCAGCUCCUGCUGUCCCAAAGUCACACUCCAAGCCCCCAUCCAUGCCUGCUGUUCCUCAAGAUGCUCACUCCCCACCUGUGAACCUGUGCACCUUCUGUUCCCUCUGCUCCAAGGCCCUUACCCCAUUGUUUGCUUGAGAAAUUCCUGCUUAACUGCCACCUCUUCCAUGAAGCCUCCCUAAGUCCCUGUCCCCCCGCCCUAUCUUCUUAUCACCUCGAGUUGAGUCAAUUCACACACAUCCAUCUCCCCCAGGAGGCCCCAAGCUUCUCCAGCAUGGAAAACACCUAAUUUGUCUCUCUUUGUCUGUGUCUGAGCCGUAGACGGGGCUCAAGAGCCAUUUGUUUUAAGAAUAAAUGAGUUCUUUCCUUUGCUGGCCAUU
This is a non-coding RNA of Castor canadensis (American beaver), 6659 nucleotides long. The record is from RefSeq and is a predicted model, not a curated record. Lineage: Eukaryota; Metazoa; Chordata; Mammalia; Rodentia; Castoridae.